Molecule: long non-coding RNA, 958 nt
Organism: Myzus persicae (green peach aphid)
Lineage: Eukaryota; Metazoa; Arthropoda; Insecta; Hemiptera; Aphididae
Exons: 3
Source: RefSeq, a predicted model, not a curated record
AAAUAAUCUUUCAGCUUUAAAUGGCAAUUACAACCUAUAUGCCUGCACACAAAAAGACACAUUUGAGUGAUACUUGUCUUCGAUUAUUGCCAGUGACGAGUGGUAUCGUCUACGUUCAGGAGGAGACGCCUGGAAUCACCCGUUGGAAUCGGAAGUCAAGCGCUGUGACGUGCAUGUGAUAGUAAAAAUAUGAUUCAAAAUUGUCACGAUGAGUUGUGCGCAUAUCAUAACCACAGACGCAAAUAUCCAAAAUCGGUUUUUCGAUUGCUCCAAUGUACCUGAUAAAUAUACCGAGCUUAUAUUGGUUUUACCGUAUCCAACGAGAAUAAAGUAUAGCAUGGACUGUUAUAUGCUAGUAAAUGAAUGGACGAUUGAAUGAUUGGACAAUAAAUUAUAUUAUUUUUUCAUAAUAUUUGAUUGUUAACUGAAAUAUUACUCAUUUAUAUACAAAUAGAAAACAAUAAUAAAAUACGGACCGGGGCCGGACGAGAGAAGCAAGACUAGUGCCAAAUACUUUGUUUCCGUAUUCUGUCACUAUAAUAAUUAUUAUUUUAUUAUUAUUAAUUUUUUUUUAAGGAAGCCGGGUGGGUUUUUAAAAUAUUCAAUACAAGUGAAAUGUUAUAUAGUUUUUCCGAGUAUUUUAUCUGAGUUUAAUUUUAGUUACAAUAUAGUAAUUUUAAUAUAAUUUCAUACAAUUCCUUUAUUCCUUUAUAAUUGGAUUUUGUUCUUUUGUGCAAUAUUUUCUAUACUCCGGUAUAAUACUAUAUGGUAUCCUCAUUAUGUUGUCUUAAAUAUUAUUUUUCUCGUGGAUUUACACAAUAGGGGUGGUUUUGAACGCGAAAAUCAAUUUAUAGGUACCUUACAUUAUAUGCAUUUUGAAAUGUAUUUUGUACCCAAGAUUAUGGAUUCUAUUGUUUCCUGAUGGAUUAAAAACAAUUUAUCUCUAUCUCUCUCUAUC